Molecule: long non-coding RNA, 1303 nt
Filed under: Volvox carteri
Lineage: Eukaryota; Viridiplantae; Chlorophyta; Chlorophyceae; Chlamydomonadales; Volvocaceae
Description: long non-coding RNA (VCAR_LNC002026)
Source: RNAcentral
UUCAGUCACUGAUGUACUUUUAUGCCCUGUACUUUGCGUCUAAGAUCAUGUUUGCCGGUGGUCGUUAUAUAACAGCUUGGAAAACUAACCCCUGAGUGAAGGAGGCAUGCUCCUUGAGCUUAUGCAUUUGUUCAAUUGCUGUGCAUGAAUAUGCUAUAAAAGGACAUUUUGCGCAUCAUUUUUCCGAGACCGCUGACCCCAAGACUAUAAAAAUAUACCUAUUUGCCGAACUCCAUGUCCUUGCGGGGCGUUUACAAUUUUAUUCCUCUUAUACGUACCUUGCGCCUAGGUUUGUUUGAUGCGAUGUUCUGAAAUUUUGUGCGGGGGUCCCUGGGGGCACAAAUGCGCGACGCGGAUUGGGACCAGCUCUUCUUGCAAUUUAUUAGGAAAAGGGGGUAAGCUACUUUGGCUGCCAGCCAGCUGAUUUAGCUGUGAAGCGCCCAGUGCUAAGUGUCGACAACGGUGCUAUGCAGCCUUCGCGAUGUGGAAACCGCGUUCGCGCGCUACGUAAGAACUCAACCCCAGGAGCCGGAAGACGGCAUGUCGGUAUCGCAGCACGCCGAAGUACCGCAGAAUCUAAUUGAAGAGUUAGCCACAUUUGCGGCGGAAAACGACGCGGGCGUGUACACAGACACCUUCGAGCGCCUCGCGACAUGGGUGGACAAUUCGCUGGACAUGUACAGGGUGAGUGAUGCAGUGCCCGCGCAGAGCGCGGGAACACGGAGAACACGGGAAGCGAUAGUCCUGCAACGGCUCCGGAUGCCAUACGCUCAAACCCUAAAUCUUUGAAGCAUCCAGUAUAUUCCCGGGGAACGCGAUUGCAGCUGAGGGUUUCCGACGUGCAUGUAUGUAUGUAUGUGUGCAUGGUUCCGCCACUGCGUAUUACUAAUCACGUGUUGUGGGUGUGUCGGUCGAACGGCGACAGGCCGCUGGGAAGCUUUGCACUCGUGUCACAGCACAGCAGCCCUCACUGUUUGGGCCCGUUAUGCCAGGAGUGGAUGGAUAGAUCAGGACGGCGUGCUGCUGCACACCUUUUAAUACAACCACCUCUUGGUUGGUUUGGGCAACGGUAACAACGGCGGCGACGGCGGUUACAGAGCGGCAUGCAAAACAGGGUUUUCCGGGUAUUCCCCCUUCCCCCCCGCCCCAGAGCCCUCCACCCUCGCGCUCCAGAGCCGCCCUGGCCCCGGGCGGGGGCCCCGGUCUCGCCCCCAGGGGUCCAUAGGGCCCUCUACCUGACUCCCCGCCCCCCCCCUCCCCACGGCAUUCCCUCGAUGAGCCCCCACCACAGCCCCACCCGGGA